This 127-nucleotide non-coding RNA is filed under the name Paramoeba aestuarina. The record is from RNAcentral. Lineage: Eukaryota; Discosea; Flabellinia; Dactylopodida; Paramoebidae.
GGUGCCGGAAGUGGUGGCGGUGGUGGAGCCGCCGGAACCGGUUGCCCUACUGAUGGUGCUGUGUGGUGGAUGAACAGAGAUUUGGAGGAGAAGAAGAAGAGGUACGGACCCAAAUCCCGUUAAGAAC